This is a long non-coding RNA of Acipenser ruthenus (sterlet), 2676 nucleotides long. RefSeq lists it as uncharacterized. NCBI's taxonomy places the organism in Eukaryota, Metazoa, Chordata, Actinopteri, Acipenseriformes, Acipenseridae. The record is from RefSeq and is a predicted model, not a curated record. The transcript has 2 exons.
UUACCACGAAAUGUCCGCUAGGAGGCAGGCGACACAAUCUGAUUGUGAAAGUGGUUUUCACUGUGUGCAGGUAGACACGGUUCUGCAGGGUGCCGUGCGGUUCUGAUCCAGUACAGUGCAUGAAGUCAGUGCUGAUUUGGAUCCUGCUGGGGUUCAGUGGGGUUCAUCAAGCUUCUUUGUCCAUAGAGGGUGACAUCCCCCAGACCUGUGUAACAGGGCGCAGGCUGAGAGUGACGCAAGCGAGCAUCUUAACCGCUGUGCAAAAGAGGCCGGCUCACCUGCAUUUCUGUGACGACCGCCUGGAAGUGUGCAGAGGUAACACCAAAUUGUGUUGAAGAUUGACGCAGUGGGUCCAUAUGAACGACACUUUCUAUACUAAACGUAAGCCUGCUGUAACACUCCAAUCCCCAUGUGCACAAACACAGCUUUCUCCCGAGCUGCUGCCGGGCCCAGGGGGAAUGUGGCAGCGGGCUGCGAUGUGUCUGAGUGGUCCCGGGGAAUGUAGCAGGCAGGUACAGUGUUUGGAAGAGGAGAGCUGUUCUCAGCCCUGCCGCACUGAGGGAUCCUGAAGGCAGGGUCUGACCACCACAUCAGGGAAGGAAAGGACAGCUCCACACCCGAGCGCUAGCCUCGUUCCCACGCCUCGCACAGACAAUCACAGGGCUGCAGCCAGGCACCUCCGGAAUGUCGGCUUGGAACUUGGAACUUGGAACAGAAAAAAAAAAAGAUCUCUUAAGUUCCUGAGCUUUCGGAAUGUACAAGAUACUUGGAGUUUUCGAUUGCAAGAGUCACCCAGCCCGGUUCUCCUCUGCCCUGAUUGGGUUUCCAUCAGAACGGGGGCUAGGGGAGAGGUUUGGAAACUUGAACAAAACCAAGCACGCCAGUAACUGUCAGCCUCCCUCCCUCCACCAGCACCCCUCCUCCUCUCCCCUCGCCCCUCUCCCUCCCUGUCAGUUCCUCACGAGCCUCCAUCGGGAAGCGUGUCACGUUGGAGUCUCUCCCUCGCUGCCCCUGUCACUCAGCUUCCUGCAGGGAGGGGGUGCUGUGCUGGAACACGCCAGCUGUCCCCGAGAGAGCGUGCAGGGACCCCCGCUGCUGGAGCACAGGCAGGAGGGGAGAGAACACUGGGAUAACAUGUCACGUAUGAGAGAUCGAGAGACAGAGAAAAGGGAAUAAUUCACUUUUCUUGAACAGUUGGAGGCUUCACUUGUUAUGAGCGAUUUACUUUUUGAAUGGUUCGGGGAUGGCACAAAGAUCAGUCACUGCUUCGAUCAAUUUAAUAGAUGGUUUUAAACAUGAAAUCGUUUGUCAUGUGCCCUACGCUUCACUUGUCCACAUGGUGUGUGUGUCUCUCUCGCUCUCUCUCAGCAGUACCAGGGAAACAGACACAACUUGACCAAAGGUGGUGCUAACUAUUCUCCACCUCAAGGUGGCAGUGUUGGCCAAUUGAAUUCCCCGCUACAAUCACAUACUUGUAAAUGUAUGUUACUUUUUUUCAUUCUUUCAAAGCCACAGACAGGUGUAUAGGACAGUUACCUCCACCUGCCAGGCGUCUAUCACAGUCUGGUAAAGCUCACCCUGCAGUGCGUCUGGGAUGUGGCCCCGAUAUCGUGUUCUUUUGAGUAUAAGGCAGCUGAACCCAUUUCCUGUAAUUGGUUACCUUGCUCUGUAGUCAGUCAGUGCUGGAAGGAAUGCUUAAACACCUUAGAAUGAUUUGAACUUUUUCUGUUUUUAAAAGAAUACAAAUAACAGGUUUAAUCUGUUUAAAGAGGAGAGGAGAGGAGAGUGUGAUUGAUCUCCUACAGCUGUAAUCCCAGCUUUCGGUUUUAUUGAUUCCAGGGGCGCUGACAGCGCAGGACUCCAAAAUCCUGAAAGUGUCGUCUGUAGCGGGGCUGGUGCUUACAGAGCAGCUGAGUAAACAAAAGCAGCUUUUCUGAGACAAGCGGUCAGGCACUGAACACUGCUGCAGUGUGCAUGUGAGCCCGUGUUAUUAACAAUAGAGGAGAAAGAACAUAAGAGUGGAGGAAUCUGGAUUCAAUCCAUUUUUAUACCUCCUGCUAGUAAUAGCAAUGUUAUCACUGGUUCCCCCUGGGAUCUUUCGGUUCUUUGUAUUUUAUACUGGCAUAUAUACCGAGCAUCAAAAGAAACUUAUCACUAUUAAAACAUAUUUAUUUUUUGAAAAAAAAUAAGGUAUAUAAAUGAUGGACUUUGACGAAAUGUUUUUGGUUUCUUUUUAAUCACUCGAUCAUUCAUCCUUGACCAUGACGCGCUUGAGUGACUAUGACUGAAGCAUAUGCACUUAAUCACCUAAUUAGUGAGACAGUUGAUUGGACUCUGGAUAUGAUUUCAGCUGUUGAAUUACAAGCUUGAAUAAAAGCAAUAAAGAAAAACACAGAAAAAAAACAAUAUGCCACGUCUGUCAAGAGAGCAGCGCCUUCGUGCGAUCGGCAUGUUGGAGGCUGGACUAGGGCAGCGUGCUGUGGCUCGCCGUCUUGGGAGCUCACAGCCAGCAAUUUCAAACCUGGUGAGACGGUAUAACCAAACACACUCUGUCAAUGACAGGCCACGAACCGGGAGACCAAGAGUCACAACACCUGCCCGAGAUCGACAGAUCAUUUUGCAGCAUCUUCAUGAUGUCAAUUGUUAAUCAGCACAAUAAAAAGUCACUGUACCUGA